RNAcentral lists this ribosomal RNA (445 nucleotides) under uncultured bacterium. RNAcentral describes it as "partial 16S ribosomal RNA". It matches the Rfam family "Bacterial small subunit ribosomal RNA", at positions 330 to 792 of the family's 1533-position model. The record is from RNAcentral.
CCCAGACUCCUACGGGAGGCAGCAGUGGGGAAUAUUGCACAAUGGGGGAAACCCUGAUGCAGCGACGCCGCGUGAGCGAUGAAGUAUUUCGGUAUGUAAAGCUCUCUCAGCAGGGAAGAAAAUGACGGUACCUGACUAAGAAGCCCCGGCUAACUACGUGCCAGCAGCCGCGGUAAUACGUGGGGGGCAAGCGUUAUCCGGAUUUACUGGGUGUAAAGGGAGCGUAGACGGCAAUGCAAGCCAGAUGUGAAAGCCCGGGGCCCAACCGCGGGACUGCAUUGGGAACUACCGGGCUGGAGUGCCGGAGAGGUAGGCGGAAUUCCUAGUGUAGCGGUGAAAUGCGUAGAUAUUAGGAGGAACACCAGUGGCGAAGGCGGCCUACUGGACGGUGACUGACGCUGAGGCUCGAAAGCGUGGGGAGCAAACAGGAUUAGAUCCCCCAGUA